AAAAAUAGGCGCUACUUUUUCCCUCCUUUCCUUUUCCCCCACCCCACUCCCCACCAAAAAAUGACAUUAGCUAUCAUCAAAACACACACACACACACACACAGAUCCAAAUUAAAAACUGCUGGUCUAUCACCAACAUCGUAAGCUCGCACAAUCGCAAUCAAAAUUAAGUUUCUGGGAGAAGAAAAAACAGUUUGUUACCUUUGUCGUCAUCCAUUGUUUUUGUUAGGGUUUCUUCUCAAGCUUGUAGGAGAAAAAAUAAGAUGGCGCCUUUGUAAAAUGCCUAAAUCCAUUGAACAGUCCUCUGUUUAUGUUUAUCCAUUCCCCGGUCAACGCGGACACUUUGUUGGAUUAUUAGUAUGCAUAUACUAACCAGCAUACAAAACACGACCCAAGGCUUGAGAGUUAUUGGGCUAAAGCCAAAUGAGAAGAUUGCACUCUUUGCUGAUAAUUCAUGUCGAUGGCUUGUUGCAAAUCAAGGUAUGAUGGCAAUGGGGAUAUUAAUGUUGUAGGGGGUUCAAGGUCAUCAGCUUCAAGAGCUAGUGCAAUUACAACCACUACGAAAGGUAAGUUGUUGGCACUACACUCAUGGUAGACAUCGGUCAUUGAAGUAUCUUGCAACUUGCUGAAAUAUUUGAUUCAGAGUAGCAUAGCUAGUUUGGUAGGUUUGAUCUGAUUUAACUCGUAUGUCUCUCUUCAAUUACAUUUGCUCAAUUGCAGUAGCUAUUUUUAAGAAGUGUCUUAUACUUGUAAUAAACAAUUACUAUAUCCAUAACCUAGAUCAAAGCUAAGGUUAGCGAUCAUGUCUAAAAUCAAAUGUAUCUAAAUCUAUGUGAGUGCUAAAAAUAAUUAUUUAGACUCACUUUUUUAUGAUUCUUAUCAUUUGGAUGUGCUCUAACAUGCAUCGUGCUACAAUCCUAUUUCUCAUUACAUCUUUGUUUAAUAAAGAUUUCCUAAGCUAUUCACAAUUAGCAUAUUUUCAUACUUUGAUAAGUACAUUUUAAAUCCAUUUAUGAGCAGAAAAUGAAAGAACUUAAGUUCCUUCAAAGCUAGUCAUUACGAAUUACUUGCAUCGAGUAAGUUUUGGUUUCAAAUGAUUUGAAGUAAGUUUUGGUUUCAAAUGAUUUGAUAGGAUUCUUGUAGCAUGAAAAAAUAACCGGAGGAAAUCAGUGCAUGCUACU
Lycium ferocissimum is the source of this 1180-nucleotide long non-coding RNA. RefSeq lists it as uncharacterized. The record is from RefSeq and is a predicted model, not a curated record. The transcript is spliced from 4 exons. NCBI's taxonomy places the organism in Eukaryota, Viridiplantae, Streptophyta, Magnoliopsida, Solanales, Solanaceae.